GGGGAAUAUUGCGCAAUGGGCGAAAGCCUGACGCAGCCACGCCGCGUGAGCGAUGAAGGUCUUCGGAUCGUAAAGCUCUGUGGGGAGAGACGAAGAAAGCCGGUGAAGAGCCGGCCUUGACGGUAUCUCCUUAGCAAGCACCGGCUAACUCCGUGCCAGCAGCCGCGGUAAUACGGAGGGUGCAAACGUUGCUCGGAAUCAUUGGGCGUAAAGCGCACGUAGGCGGCGGCGUAAGCGGGAUGUGAAAGCCCAGGGCUCAACCUUGGAAGUGCAUCCCGAACUGCGUCGCUUGAAUCUCGGAGGGGGACAGAGAAUUCCCGGUGUAGAGGUGAAAUUCGUAGAUAUCGGGAGGAAUACCAGUGGCGAAGGCGCUGUCCUGGACGAAGAUUGACGCUGAGGUGCGAAAGCGUGGGGAGCAAAC
RNAcentral lists this ribosomal RNA (421 nucleotides) under uncultured bacterium. RNAcentral describes it as "bacterial SSU rRNA". It matches the Rfam family "Bacterial small subunit ribosomal RNA", at positions 356 to 773 of the family's 1533-position model. The record is from RNAcentral.